GCCAACUCCUCCUCCUAUCUGGACUUCCACGUCCACCCUUUGUACCUCUGGCCUGGCUCUCUUGGUUAGGGCCCUUCUUAGCUUUCAAAUCUAGGUUUCUGUUCCUUUCCCUGACCCACACAGGCCAUAGUGAAACUGAACACUAGCUGCCCUCUGACUUUACCUUCCCACCUCCACUCUCACUGAAGACAUGCACUGUCCAGAGCCGCCUUCCCUUCCACAUUAUGUCUUAACCUGGCUAUCUUUCUCAGCCCAGGGAGCUGUCCCUCUUCCUUUUGUGGCUGUUAAUGGCUUCCUGUGAAGUUACCGAGCAUGCUCUCAGUAUAUUUCUUACAAAGGAAUCGCUUUCACCCUGUGAAAUCAUUAUUUGUAUAGACUUUCUUCAAACCUUACAACUAACCGCUGUUCAACUACACAUCUCAUCACCACAACAACUGUUAAAAACGUCAGCAUGUGGGUAGAGCUCUAGAAGCUGGAAUGAAAGAAUUUAUACAUGUUGUACUUCUGUGUGCCCAUGUGCUCACCUUGAGGCCAGCAUCACCAGUUCUGCCAAACCUUUGCCUACUGACCUGCAGCUCUCUCUACAUGAUUGCAAAUGUUGUUUCAAACGGUAAAGUCUUAAGAGCCAGUGACUGAUGUGUUUGGUCCCUGCUGAAUGCUUCCCGCUAAGUGCAACACAGACAUUAAAAGGCCUGGGCUAUGUUGAUGAGCAGGGAGGGAAGAUUUGUCAAAGGGACAUUGAUCUCUGUCUUGAUUCUCCACUUCCAGCAGUGCUUCUCUCCCAGGAUCCUGGCGACUUUCCCAGGAUGCUCAGCGAAGGUCUUUUCUCCAAACUUUUCCUUUCAUAAGUAACUGUAUGAACUGGACUGAACAGAAGUUUGAAGGCUGACAUGUUUUCAACAGCCCUCCUUUAAAGACUAGCUUAAAUGUCAUUUGUGUUUUCUGUGAAGACUCUACUGACUUCCUGAAUCAGUCACUUCCUCCUGUGGGAGACCACACUUCGUUGACACUCUAGCAUAGUACAAUGAUGCAGCUGUUUAUAAUUGCACACAUACACAAACUGCCUAUUUGUAUAUGUAUACUGCUAACGCCAUUGGAAGGUCUGCCUAACAGGAUAUAAGUAUAAAUUAUAACAAAUGUUUCUGUUAGUUUUAUUUAAAUAGGAGGAUUCCUGGAUAUUUAACAGCUCAUGCAGUAGUAGUUUAGGAAUUAGAGAGUCAAACAUUGGGAAUACCAAUUAAGAAUAUUUUAGAUAACAAGCAGCUUUCAAGUCUGAUAACACUGGGUGUGGUGACUCUAGAGCAGUUCAUCCCAGCCAUUGGAAUGUUGAAGCAGGAGGGAUGCUCUGAGUGGAGGCCAGCCUGAGCUACAUAGUGAGCUCCAGGCCUGCCUGAGAUACAGAGUCAGACUGAGAACUCUGCUUCUGGCAUUUCACUCUGCUAUCUCUCCUGAGAACUGGACGAUCAGUUUUGGGUAUGUUCACAAUGCACAGAACAUUACCAACCUUCCAUUUUUGUUUCUUCUAAUUAGUCUCCGACUGUGCUACCUUACACCCCUGACUCUCAUUUCUGCCCUGAUACCGUAAAUACCGUGACAUUCUAGUCAUUUUAAUUGUGAAACACAGGCAUGUCUAUUUUUAAAGAGAUGAGGGAAGUAGAGCACAGCACCCAUUGCUCUUUUUCAGUCUUCUUAUUGUAAAAUUGGGGGCAGGGAAGAGAGGCACUCAUCAGAGUUUGUCAUAUGAAAACAUCCAUGCUGGUCUGAGGUAUGAA
RNAcentral lists this long non-coding RNA (1772 nucleotides) under Cricetulus griseus (Chinese hamster). Its description in RNAcentral is "lncRNA (ENSCGRG00015038380.1)". The record is from RNAcentral. Lineage: Eukaryota; Metazoa; Chordata; Mammalia; Rodentia; Cricetidae.